GAUAAAGUGUCCAAACGCAGAGAAAAACUCCUGCUGAAGCGACUGAUCUCCACACUGUUAUAAAGAUGGCGUUUAUUAAAGAGGAGAGUGAAGACCUUAAGAUCGAGGAAACAGUCGAACAUGAAGAUCUGCAGAAACAAACAGACUUUAUUGAAGAGAAUGAGAGGAAAGAGGAGGAACAUCAUGUCAAAUUUGAGGAAAAAACUUUACAGACUGAUGGUAUUUUGAAAAGGAGAGACAGGAAUCGUUUCACCUGCACUCAGUGUGGAAGGAGUUUUGGAAGAAAAGGUGAUCUUAAGAUUCACAUGAGGAUCCACACUGGAGAGAAACCAUUCACAUGCACUCAGUGUGGGAAGAGUUUUAGCCAUUCUUCAAACUUCAAUCAACACAUAAGGAUCCACACUGGAGAGAAACCAUUUAUAUGCACACAGUGUGGGAAGAGUUUCAGCCGAUCAUCACACCUUUAUCGACACAUGAUGAUCCACACCGGAGAGAAACAAUUCACUUGCACUCUAUGUGGGAAGCGUUUUGGAAGAAAUUUCGAUCCUAAGAUUCACAUGAUGAUUCACACUGGAGAGAAACCAUUCAAAUGCACUCAAUGUGGGAACAGUUUCAUCCAAUCAUCAAACCUUAAUCUACACAUGAUGAUCCACACCGGAGAGAAACUAUUCACAUGCACUCAGUGUGGGAACAGUUUCAGCCGAUCAUCACACCUUA
RNAcentral lists this long non-coding RNA (717 nucleotides) under Danio rerio (zebrafish). RNAcentral's name for it is "lncRNA (ENSDARG00000104423.2)". The record is from RNAcentral. Lineage: Eukaryota; Metazoa; Chordata; Actinopteri; Cypriniformes; Danionidae.